CAACUUACCUGGACGGGGUCAUUUGCGGUGAUCAAGAAAGCUGAUAGCCUAGUGUGGCUUCCCUCUUUGCAGGGUGGGUUGCCUUAGCAUCUCCCCAACUUCGAGAAUGCACAUCAUAUUUAC
RNAcentral lists this small nuclear RNA (123 nucleotides) under Amborella trichopoda. RNAcentral's name for it is "snRNA U1". The record is from RNAcentral. Lineage: Eukaryota; Viridiplantae; Streptophyta; Magnoliopsida; Amborellales; Amborellaceae.